This 253-nucleotide ribosomal RNA is filed under the name uncultured bacterium. RNAcentral's name for it is "partial 16S ribosomal RNA". It matches the Rfam family "Bacterial small subunit ribosomal RNA", at positions 524 to 776 of the family's 1533-position model. The record is from RNAcentral.
UACGUAGGGGGCAAGCGUUGUUCGGAAUUACUGGGCGUAAAGGGCGCGUAGGCGGCCUGGCAAGUCGGGAGUGAAAGCCCGGGGCUCAACCCCGGAACUGCUUUCGAAACUGCCAAGCUAGAGUGCGGAAGAGGCAACUGGAAUUCCCAGUGUAGCGGUGAAAUGCGUAGAUAUUGGGAAGAACACCGGAGGCGAAGGCGGGUUGCUGGGCCGACACUGACGCUGAUGCGCGAAAGCCAGGGGAGCGAACGGG